RNAcentral lists this transfer RNA (70 nucleotides) under Crypturellus tataupa. RNAcentral's name for it is "tRNA-Arg". The record is from RNAcentral. Lineage: Eukaryota; Metazoa; Chordata; Aves; Tinamiformes; Tinamidae.
AGAAAGUUAGUCUAACUACAAGACGGUCGACUUCGGCUCGACAAAUUAUAGCAAACACUAUAACUUUCUU